ACGGUCCUAAGGUAGCGAAAUUCCUUGUCGGGUAAGUUCCGACCCGCACGAAAGGCGUAAUGAUUUGAGCGCUGUCUCGACAAUGCAUCCGGUGAAAUUGAAGUACCAGUGAAGAUGCUGGUUACCCGCGCCAGGACGGAAAGACCCCAUGGAGCUUUACUCCAGUUUGGUACUGGGAUUCGGCAGUGCAUGUACAGGAUAGGUGGGAGGCUUUGAAGCAGGGACGCCAGUUUCUGCGGAGCCGGUGUUGGGAUACCACCCUUGUGCUGCUGGGUUUCUAACCGGAGGCCGUGAACCGGCCACGGGACAAUGCCAGACGGGGAGUUUGACUGGGGCGGUCGCCUCCGAAAGGGUAUCGGAGGCGCUCAAAGGUUCCCUCAGAAUGGUUGGAAACCAUUCGAAGAGUGCAAAGGCAGAAGGGAGCUUGACUGCGACACCGACGGGUGGAGCAGGUACGAAAGUAGGACUUAGUGAUCCGGUGGUAUAAAGUGGGAUUGCCAUCGCUCAACGGAUAAAAGCUACCCUGGGGAUAACAGGCUUAUCACUCCCAAGAGUUCACAUCGACGGAGUGGUUUGGCACCUCGAUGUCGGCUCAUCGCAUCCUGGGGCUGUAGUAGGUCCCAAGGGUUGGGCUGUUCGCCCAUUAAAGCGGUACGCGAGCUGGGUUCAGAACGUCGUGAGACAGUUCGGUCCCUAUCCGGCGUGGGCGUAGGAUAUCUGAGAGGAGCUGUCCUUAGUACGAGAGGACCGGGAUGGACGGGCCGCUGGUGUACCUGUUGGUUUGCCAAAGCCAUGGCAGGGUAGCCAAGCCUGGAAGGGAUAAACGCUGAAGGCAUCUAAGCGUGAAGCCCCCCUCAAGAUGAGAUAUCCCAUUCUUUAGAGAAGUAAGACCCCUUGAAGACGACGAGGUAGAUAGGGCAGGGGUGGAAGUGCAGCAAUGCAUGGAGCUGACUGUUACUAAUCGGUCGAGGGCUUGACCAG
RNAcentral lists this ribosomal RNA (981 nucleotides) under human gut metagenome. RNAcentral's name for it is "bacterial LSU rRNA". It matches the Rfam family "Bacterial large subunit ribosomal RNA", at positions 1945 to 2925 of the family's 2925-position model. The record is from RNAcentral.